UAAUCAAUGGAAAACCUUUGGGCUUGUGAACAGGGCAGUGAUAAGAACUAUGCUUUAAAAGAUUACUCCAGCAGUGUACAAGAUGAACCAGAGAAGAAAAAUCAAAAGAAGAUGGGGAAGCAAGUGAGGAGAGUAUCACAACCAUAAAGGAAGAGACUGGGGCGUAUUAUCAUGAGAAUGGGUGUGAUACCUAACAGAAGAGCAUUCCUUCAGUUCCUGUGCCCAUGAGAAUAAGAGACUGGAAGAGCGUCUUGUCCAAAGCCAAAAUGACGUUGACUUUCUAGAGCUCUAGGAAGUCCCUUUGGUUUGGCAUCUCAUUCCGGAGAACAGGGGCUCACCUCCUCAAAUCGUGCCCGGAUAAUGGUGAUCCAGUGUUUGAUGGUGGUGACGCAAUCUGGGUGGCACACUGACAGGAUGACUUCUCCCAUCGCCACGGCUGCAUUCACAUCCACUCGCUUUUCCUCUACCUUCUUCAUGAAUUCCUAAACACAAAUUUCAAAACAUGAAUUAGGGAAAUGUCUUCUCUUGA
Dromiciops gliroides (monito del monte) is the source of this 529-nucleotide long non-coding RNA. RefSeq lists it as uncharacterized. The record is from RefSeq and is a predicted model, not a curated record. NCBI's taxonomy places the organism in Eukaryota, Metazoa, Chordata, Mammalia, Microbiotheria, Microbiotheriidae. The transcript is spliced from 2 exons.